UACGUAGGGUGCAAGCGUUGUCCGGAAUUAUUGGGCGUAAAGAGCUCGUAGGCGGCUUGUCGCGUCGGCUGUGAAAACCUGGGGCUCAACCCCGGGCGUGCAGCCGAUACGGGCAAGCUAGAAUUCGGUAGGGGAGACUGGAAUUCCUGGUGUAGCGGUGAAAUGCGCAGAUAUCUGGAGGAACACCGGUGGCGAAGGCGGCAUCCUGGACCGACAUUGACGCUGAGGAGCGAAAGCGAGGGGAGCAAACGGG
This 253-nucleotide ribosomal RNA is filed under the name uncultured bacterium. RNAcentral's name for it is "partial 16S ribosomal RNA". It matches the Rfam family "Bacterial small subunit ribosomal RNA", at positions 524 to 776 of the family's 1533-position model. The record is from RNAcentral.